GCGCCGUGAACCGCUGUGAACCACCACUUGACAACUUCAGCUUCCCAAGCUGAUAGCGCGGGUUCGAUUCCCGUCAUCCGCU
RNAcentral lists this transfer RNA (82 nucleotides) under Agromyces albus. RNAcentral describes it as "tRNA-Ser". Lineage: Bacteria; Bacillati; Actinomycetota; Actinomycetes; Micrococcales; Microbacteriaceae. The record is from RNAcentral.